Herpailurus yagouaroundi (jaguarundi) is the source of this 136-nucleotide long non-coding RNA. RefSeq lists it as uncharacterized. The transcript is spliced from 3 exons. Lineage: Eukaryota; Metazoa; Chordata; Mammalia; Carnivora; Felidae. The record is from RefSeq and is a predicted model, not a curated record.
AGGAAAAAAAGAGGAAUACCAGGUUCUAUGCAUUUGCUGAUACCUCUGCUUGUAGAGUUACUUUACCUAGGGUGUUAAUGUUCAUUACAGAAAAACAGAUUAAAAAGAAACAAAGGGGCGCCUGGGUGGCUCAGUC